Molecule: long non-coding RNA, 460 nt
Organism: Oncorhynchus tshawytscha (Chinook salmon)
Lineage: Eukaryota; Metazoa; Chordata; Actinopteri; Salmoniformes; Salmonidae
Source: Ensembl
GCGGGACAGAAGGAUGGAGUGAUGGAGGGACAGAUGGAUGGAGUGAUGGAGGGACAGAGGGAUGGAGUGAUGGAGGACAAGAGAGAUGGAGUGAUGGAGGGACAGAGGGAUGGAGUGAUGGAGGGACAGAGGGAUGGAGUGAUGGAGGACUAGAGGGAUGGAGUGAUGGAGGGACAGAGGGAUGGAGUGAUGGAGGACUAGAGGGAUAGAGUGAUGGAGGGACAGAGGGAUGGAGUGAUGGAGGACUAGAGGGAUGGAGUGAUGGAGGGACAGAGGGACAGAGUGAUGGCGGGACAGAUGGAUGGACACAGGCUGCACAUUCCUCCUCCCCCUCUUCCUCCUCCUUUCCCUGCCUGCUACUGUAGUUGAAUGCUGUUAGAGCUAUUAUUAUUAUAGCCAUUAUUAUACAUCAUCAUGGUGUCUAUUAUCAGCAUGAUGAUUCAUGUUAAUGGGAUGACCA